Ictidomys tridecemlineatus (thirteen-lined ground squirrel) is the source of this 784-nucleotide non-coding RNA. The record is from RefSeq and is a predicted model, not a curated record. NCBI's taxonomy places the organism in Eukaryota, Metazoa, Chordata, Mammalia, Rodentia, Sciuridae.
UAAUUUCACCAAGUCUUCCAGUGCCAGCUUCAGUAUUGUCCUUUUCCCUGAAUGGAAAACUUGUGUUUUUCAUUUUGUUGCUGCUACAAACCCUCUGAACAGGAAGGUGGCAUCCGUGAGCAGAUGAAUAAAUUAAAUCAAGGAGGAGAGGGAAAUUAGGCAACAGCAACAACAAAAGAUAUUUUCUAAACAGAAUACUAUUUAUCCUAUUAAUGGCCCAGGCUGCCGGCCUUAGAGUCACACAGAGCUCUGCAGUGAAUACAAAAAACAAGCUCAGGAAUACAAACACAAGCAAGAGGACCUGCUUCGGAGGGAAGUGGGAGCUGUGCUUACAGUGCUGAGCAUUUCAGUUUUCAACACUGCUACAACCACAGCAAGGCAGACAGACUGGUGAUUUACCAUUGCUGAAGUUUUACUGUGAUUUUCAAGCUCAUGGCUGGACUGAAAUUUUCUCAAUAUGAAGAAUUACCAUCAAAUACUAUCUUCAAUUCUGUGGCAGAUUCAAUAAGAAAAAGAAAGCAGCAAGAAGCAGAUGCUGAGGAAUAAGCGGAUGAACACUCGAAGAAGGUAGCAUGUUUGCUUUAUUGAACAGCUAACAUGUUGGGUGCUGUGAUAAACACUUUGUAGAGUUCACAGAAUAUGGAACAUUUGCCGUAAUCUUUAGCUCGGCCUGGAGAAGAAAGAACUAUCGUUAUGGAAAAGAAAGGAAAACAUGUGAAAAAAUUUAAAAAGAUAGCUUUUAGCCCUUUUGAGAAAUAUUUGUUUAAAGUAUGAGCAGAAAUUC